UACGUAGGGCGCAAGCGUUAUCCGGAAUUAUUGGGCGUAAAGAGCUCGUAGGCGGUCUGUCGCGUCGGCUGUGAAAACCCGGGGCUCAACCCCGGGCCUGCAGUCGAUACGGGCAGACUAGAGUGCGGUAGGGGAGACUGGAAUUCCUGGUGUAGCGGUGAAAUGCGCAGAUAUCAGGAGGAACACCGGUGGCGAAGGCGGGGUCUCUGGGCCGUAACUGACGCUGAGGAGCGAAAGCGUGGGGAGCGAACAGG
This 254-nucleotide ribosomal RNA is filed under the name uncultured bacterium. RNAcentral's name for it is "partial 16S ribosomal RNA". It matches the Rfam family "Bacterial small subunit ribosomal RNA", at positions 524 to 776 of the family's 1533-position model. The record is from RNAcentral.